AAAUUGAAGAGUUUGAUCAUGGCUCAGAUUGAACGCUGGCGGCAGGCCUAACACAUGCAAGUCGAACGGUAGCACAGAGAGCUUGCUCUCGGGUGACGAGUGGCGGACGGGUGAGUAAUGUCUGGGAAACUGCCUGAUGGAGGGGGAUAACUACUGGAAACGGUGGCUAAUACCGCAUAACGUCGCAAGACCAAAGAGGGGGACCUUCGGGCCUCUUGCCAUCAGAUGUGCCCAGAUGGGAUUAGCUAGUUGGUGAGGUAACGGCUCACCAAGGCGACGAUCCCUAGCUGGUCUGAGAGGAUGACCAGCCACACUGGAACUGAGACACGGUCCAGACUCCUACGGGAGGCAGCAGUGGGGAAUAUUGCACAAUGGGCGCAAGC
This 383-nucleotide ribosomal RNA is filed under the name Salmonella enterica. Its description in RNAcentral is "bacterial SSU rRNA". It matches the Rfam family "Bacterial small subunit ribosomal RNA", at positions 1 to 382 of the family's 1533-position model. Lineage: Bacteria; Pseudomonadati; Pseudomonadota; Gammaproteobacteria; Enterobacterales; Enterobacteriaceae. The record is from RNAcentral. RNAcentral also lists the same sequence under 2 other names.